UGCAGUCGAACGAGAAACCAUUCUUCGGAAUGGCGGACAGUGGCGCACGGGUGAGUAACACGUGGGAACCUACCCUAUGGUUUGGAAUAACCGCGGGAAACUGCGGCUAAUACCGAAUAAGCCCUUCGGGGGAAAGAUUUAUCGCCAAAGGAUGGGCCCGCGGCGGAUUAGCUUGUUGGUGAGGUAACGGCUUACCAAGGCUACGAUCCGUAGCUGGUCUGAGAGGACGGUCAGCCACACUGGGACUGAGACACGGACCAGACUCCUACGGGAGGCAGCAGUGAGGAAUAUUGCACAAUGGAGGAAACUCUGAUGCAGCCAUGCCGCGUGCAGGAUGACGGCCCUAUGGGUUGUAAACUGCUUUUUUACAAGAAGAAACAUUGGUACGUGUACCAACUUGACGGUAUUGUAAGAAUAAGCACCGGCUAACUCCGUGCCAGCAGCCGCGGUAAUACGGAGGGUGCAAGCGUUAUCCGGAUUUAUUAGGUUUAAAGGGUUCGCAGGCGGAAUUUUAAGUCAGUGGUGAAAGCCUAUAGCUUAACUAUAGAACUGCCACUGAUACUGAUAUUCUUGAGUGUAGAUGAAGUGGGCGGAAUAUGUCAUGUAGCGGUGAAAUGCAUAGAUAUGACAUGGAACACCAAUUGCGAAGGCAGCUCACUAAACUAUUACUGACGCUCAUGAACGAAAGCAUGGGGAGCGAACAGGAUUAGAUACCCUGGUAGUCCAUGCCGUAAACGAUGAUCACUA
RNAcentral lists this ribosomal RNA (747 nucleotides) under uncultured Flavobacteriales bacterium. RNAcentral describes it as "bacterial SSU rRNA". It matches the Rfam family "Bacterial small subunit ribosomal RNA", at positions 56 to 818 of the family's 1533-position model. The record is from RNAcentral. Lineage: Bacteria; Pseudomonadati; Bacteroidota; Flavobacteriia; Flavobacteriales.